RNAcentral lists this ribosomal RNA (254 nucleotides) under uncultured bacterium. RNAcentral describes it as "partial 16S ribosomal RNA". It matches the Rfam family "Bacterial small subunit ribosomal RNA", at positions 524 to 776 of the family's 1533-position model. The record is from RNAcentral.
GACGUAGGGCGCGAGCGUUGUCCGGAAUUAUUGGGCGUAAAGAGCUCGUAGGCGGCUUGUCGCGUCGACUGUGAAAACCCGCGGCUCAACCGUGUGGCUUGCAGUUGAUACGGGCAGGCUAGAGUUCGGUAGGGGAGAUUGGAAUUCCUGGUGUAGCGGUGGAAUGCGCAGAUAUCAGGAGGAACACCGAUGGCGAAGGCAGAUCUCUGGGCCGUAACUGACGCUGAGGAGCGAAAGCGUGGGGAGCGAACAGG